UACAGAGGAUGCAAGCGUUAUCCGGAAUGAUUGGGCGUAAAGCGUCUGUAGGUGGCUUUUUAAGUCCGCCGUCAAAUCCCAGGGCUCAACUCUGGACAGGCGGUGGAAACUACCAAGCUGGAGUACGGUAGGGGCAGAGGGAAUUUCCGGUGGAGCGGUGAAAUGCGUAGAGAUCGGAAAGAACACCGGUGGCGAAGGCGACCUUCUGGGCCGCAACUGACGCUGAGGCACGAAAGCCUGGGGAGCGAACGGG
This 253-nucleotide ribosomal RNA is filed under the name uncultured bacterium. RNAcentral describes it as "partial 16S ribosomal RNA". It matches the Rfam family "Bacterial small subunit ribosomal RNA", at positions 524 to 776 of the family's 1533-position model. The record is from RNAcentral.